RNAcentral lists this ribosomal RNA (85 nucleotides) under Sphingomonas ginsenosidimutans. The record is from RNAcentral. Lineage: Bacteria; Pseudomonadati; Pseudomonadota; Alphaproteobacteria; Sphingomonadales; Sphingomonadaceae.
GAUCCCAUCCCGAACUCGGCCGUGAAACCCGUCCGCGCCAAUGGUACUACUGCCUAAGCAGUGGAAGAGUAGGUCGCCGCCAGGC